AUGUCUGGAAGAUCGGGAGAACGUUCUUUUGCUGAUAUUAUCACCAGGGUUAUUCAUAGCAUUACUAUACCUUCCCUAUUCAUUGCGGGUUGGUUAUUUGUCAGUACGGGUUUAGCUUAUGACGUGUUUGGAAGUCCUAGGCCAAACGAGUAUUUCACGGAAAGCCGACAAGGAAUUCCAUUAAUAACCGACCAUUUUGAUUCUUUAGAACAACUCAAUGAAUUUAGUAGAUCCUUUUAG
RNAcentral lists this ribosomal RNA (240 nucleotides) under Triticum aestivum (bread wheat). RNAcentral describes it as "partial small subunit ribosomal RNA". The record is from RNAcentral. Lineage: Eukaryota; Viridiplantae; Streptophyta; Magnoliopsida; Poales; Poaceae.